This is a long non-coding RNA of Zonotrichia albicollis (white-throated sparrow), 1952 nucleotides long. The record is from Ensembl. Lineage: Eukaryota; Metazoa; Chordata; Aves; Passeriformes; Passerellidae.
CCAAAUCCUUCACCCCAAAUUCCAAAUCCUACACCCACAAAAUCCAAACCCUUCACCCCAAAAUCCAAAUCCUUCGCCCCAAAAUCCAAAUCCUUCGCCCCAAAAUUCAUCCCAAAAUCCAAAUUCUUCAUCCCAAAUUUCAAAUUCUUCACCCCAAAUUCCAAAUCCUUCUCCCCAAAAUUCAUCCGAAAACCCAAACCCUUCACCCCAAAAUCCAAAUCCUUCACCCCAAAUUCCAAAUUCUUCAUCCCAAAAUCCUUCAUCCCAAAGUUCCCAAAUACUUCCAAAUCCUUCAUCCCAGAAAACAAAUGUAUCACCCCAAAAUCCUUCACCCCAAAAUCCAAAUCCUUCGCCCCAAAAUCCUUCACCCCAGAAUCCAAAUCCUUCACGCCAAAAUUCAUCCCAAAAUCCAAAUUCUUCAUCCCAAAUUUCAAAUUCUUCACCCCAAAAUCCAAAUCCUUAAUCCCAAAUUCAUCCCAAAUCUCCCAAAUCCUUCAUCCCAAAAUUCCAAACCCUUCAUCCCAAAUUUCAUCCCAAAGCCCAAAUCAUUCACCCCAAAAUCCAAACCCUUCAUCCCAAAAUCCAAAUCCCAAAAUCCAAACCCUUCACCCCAAAAUCCAAACCCUUCAUACCAAAAUCCAAAUCCCAAAAUCCAAACCCUUCACCCCAAAAUCCAAACCCUUCAUCCCAAAAUCCAAAUCCUUCACCCCAAAGUUCCCAAAUGCUUCCAAAUCCUUCAUCCCAGAAAACAAAUACAUCACCCCAAAAUCCAAAUCCUUCAUCCCAAAUCUCCCAAAUCUUUCACCCCAAAAUCCAAACCCUUCAUCCCAAAAUCCAAAUCCCAAAAUCCAAACCCUUCACCCCAAAAUUCAUCCCAAAAUUCCCAAAUCCUUCACCCCCAAAUUCACCCCAAAAUCCAAAUCCUUCACCCCAAAAUUCAUCCCAAAUUCCAAAUCCUUCAUCCCAAAAUUCAUCCCAAAAUCCAAAUCAUUCAUCCAAAAUUCAUCCCAAAUCCUUCGCCCCAAAAUCCAAAUCCUUCACCCCAAAAUUCAUCCCAAAAACCAAAUCCUUCACCUCAAAUUCCAGAUCCGUCACCCCAAACUCAAAAUCCUGCAUGCCAAAGCCCAAAUGCUUCACCCCAAAAUCCAAAUCCUUCGCUCCAAAAUUCAUCCCAAAAUCCAAAUCAUUCAUCCAAAAUUCAUCCCAAAUCUCCCAAAUCCUUCGCCCCAAAGUCCAAAUCCUUCACCCCAAAAUUCAUCCCAAAAUCCAAAACCUUCAUCCCAAAUUCCAAACCCUUCACCCCAAAAUCCAAAUCCUUCACCCCAAAGUUCCCAAAUGCUUCCAAAUCCUUCAUCCCAGAAAACAAGUCCUUCGCCCCAAAAUCCUUCACCCCAAAAUCCAAAUUCUCAUCAAAAAAUCCAAAUCCUUCACCCCAAAAUCCAAACCCUUCAUCCCAAAAUCCUUCACCCCAAAAUUCAAAUCCUUCACCCCAGAAUCCAAAUCCUUCACGCCAAAAUUCAUCCCAAAAUCCAAACCCUUCACCCCAAAAUUCAUCCAAAAACCCAAAUCAUUCAAUCCCAAAAUUCAUCCCAAAAUCCAAAUCCUUCACCCCAAAAAUCCAAAUCCUUCAUCCCAAAUUCCAAAUCCUUCUCCCCAAAAUUCAUCCAAAAACCCAAAUCCUUCACCCCAAAACCCAAACCCUUCAUCCCAAAGUUCCCAAAUCAUUCACCCCAAAAUCCAAACCCUUCAUCCCAAAUUCCCCAAUCCUUCCUAAUCCUACCAAAAUCCCAAAUCCUUCACCCAAAGUUCCCAAAUGCUUCAUCCCAAAUCCCCAAAUCCUUCAUCCCAAAUCCUUCACCCCAAAAUCCAAAUCCUUCAUUCCAAAUCCUUGAUCCAAAAUUCCCAAACCCUUCAUCCCAAAUCCUCAAAUCCUGGGUCCCAAAUCCUUUCAC